Phyllostomus hastatus (greater spear-nosed bat) is the source of this 2024-nucleotide long non-coding RNA. RefSeq lists it as uncharacterized. The record is from RefSeq and is a predicted model, not a curated record. NCBI's taxonomy places the organism in Eukaryota, Metazoa, Chordata, Mammalia, Chiroptera, Phyllostomidae. The transcript has 3 exons.
GGGGAAAUGCACUCAGACGUCCUGUCCCGUCCCGCCGCCCCUUCGUCCUUGUUGACAUAACGAGCUGCUUGGUUUGAUGUGUACCCUCCCCACCGUACGAGUGACACGAGGCAGACUCAUCGUCCUGCCGAUUAAAAGUUAACCCACCUGGAGCGCCCCUCCCACCGCCCCCCUGGGCCGUGGCUCCGGGUGGUGCAGGUGGCUCUGGGCAGUUUGGAGCCUGCGGGCAGGCGUCAGAGUGACACUGUGUCCUGGGGGAACGUGGGGUCAGCCCUGCCUCGCCCCCACUCCCACGUGGGCCGAGUUCUGUCCGCGGCGAAGCACUCUGGGGCCAGGUUACCCCGUCAACCCUCGGUUCUGUGAAAACUUAGCAAGUCCCUGCCAGAUCCUUGAAGGUCACAGUUUUAAAAAGUUUUGCUUCCCACAGUGAAGGUUCUACCUCUAAAAAACAGAACAAGAGACGCAAGCGUGCAGGCACAUGCAGGGGCAACGCUCGCAGCCCGAAUCCUGCUCACAAGCAGCCCGAGGGAGCGUGCUCCCCCCCGAGGCAACUAGAAAGUCAGACGGACUACAGACCGCAACCGCUUUCCAGACACCGGACGAGGGACAACGGGCGAGCCUCCACCUGCAGCUGUGAAAUGGGGCAGGCACACGGUGAGUUCCAGAAGCACAGGCUAAUAAGCCUGAGCAGUUGUCCUUGGAGACAUCCCGUGAACAGGCCUUUAAAUAAGAGGGAAUCGCGAGCAGCUGUGGAGGAGGAUCAAGACGGAGCCGGUGCUGCACAGACGGAGGCAGGUAGUUCCAGGCAAACACGAGCCUUUUCCAACAGUCGGCAGAGACUGCAAACCCCUGUGCCUUAGUCCUGUUCCAGCCGAGGCCGGGGGGGGCUUCCAUGGGAGAAGUCACCGGCGCGCCGGCCCCAGAGGGAGCUCGGAGGAGGUGGCCAGUGACCGCCAGCGCUGAGAGUUCUGCCCACUGCCGGUAGCCACAGCCCACCGUGAGACCCGUGAGAGCGCAGAAACCAGCUGCCUUCUUCCCAGUGAAUCUUCUCAACUUCAGAUAUUUCGGUACAGCAGUGACCGAAAGCUCCUUACGAAGUGUGUGACUGAAGCCUGGAAAGGAAUCAGUGUAAAGAAACGUGAAGCAAACCACAGAGCCAGGGGCCAGCACCCACACACGGCAAAGGCAGUAUUUUUCUGAUCCAGAAAGACUGGUGUUGGGGAAAAGGCUGCCAAACCCACCUAGGCUGGGUUUUUGUGUCCGUGUGUCCCCACCCAGCCACGGGGGAGCCACCAGUCACCGGAGAGGAAACCGCUGGGGGCAACGUGCACUCCCCGAUGAGGGACUGGCAGCAGAGCCUGCAGCGGAGCCCACGGUGCCCACAGGUGACUCUAAGGUGCCUGCAAAGCCAGGGCCACCGGGGCAACCGCCUGGCUCGCCUGGGAGGAGAGGGCUGGAGUGGGCAAGGGCCUGGCCCAGGUGGCCGGGCCGGCAGUAAGCCCCGGCGUGAGGUUCUAUGUUGCCCUUCUCCAGGGGUUGUUGUCCUGAAACCGUUAGGUCGGCUGCUGGGCAGUCGCCAUGCUCUGACUUAGCCCCCUGUUCACGGCUCCCGGAGGCUCCCGGGGCAUUGUGCUAGAAGGUUCCUUAGGGAAUGAGGGUUCCAACGGCCACACGUCCUGCCCGGCACCCUCCAUGCUUCUGGGGAAAGUCCAGUUUUGCGCAUGCUCACUUGUGCCUGCGCGCACGCCCCCAGGGCAGGAGAAAUUCUUCCCCUCAGAACAGACUCCGGGCCUCCUGGGUGAGGACUCGUGAGGCUGUGGCCCGUGCAGCUGGCGCCGGAUUUGUGGACGCCUGAAGGGCGGAUCUCAGAGGAGCAGCGGCUGUGAUCCUGCCCCACAAUCAUCGGGUGCCCAGGCCCAGGCCCCGGCCGUGCCGGCAGCCCGAGUGCGACCGGAGGGGCGCGGGGUGCGGGGGCUCCAGGGGCACGGCCACCGGGGCAGCGAGGCCUGUCCGGGCCAGCGUGC